AGUGAACGCUGGCGGUAGGCCUAACACAUGCAAGUCGAACGGCAGCACAGUAAGAGCUUGCUCUUACGGGUGGCGAGUGGCGGACGGGUGAGGAAUACAUCGGAAUCUACUUUUUCGUGGGGGAUAACGUAGGGAAACUUACGCUAAUACCGCAUACGACCUACGGGUGAAAGCAUGGGAUCUUCGGAUCUUGCGCGAUUGAAUGAGCCGAUGUCGGAUUAGCUAGUUGGCGGGGUAAAGGCCCACCAAGGCGACGAUCCGUAGCUGGUCUGAGAGGAUGAUCAGCCACACUGGAACUGAGACACGGUCCAGACUCCUACGGGAGGCAGCAGUGGGGAAUAUUGGACAAUGGGCGCAAGCCUGAUCCAGCCAUACCGCGUGGGUGAAGAAGGCCUUCGGGUUGUAAAGCACUUUUGUUGGGAAAGAAAAGCAGCAGGUUAAUACCCCGCUGUUCUGACGGUACCCAAAGAAUAAGCACCGGCUAACUUCGUG
This 492-nucleotide ribosomal RNA is filed under the name uncultured bacterium. RNAcentral describes it as "partial 16S ribosomal RNA". It matches the Rfam family "Bacterial small subunit ribosomal RNA", at positions 29 to 507 of the family's 1533-position model. The record is from RNAcentral.